CCUACGGGAGGCAGCAGUGAGGAAUAUUGGUCAAUGGGCGCGAGCCUGAACCAGCCAAGUAGCGUGAAGGAUGACUGCCCUACGGGUUGUAAACUUCUUUUAUAUAGGAAUAAAGUGUGCCACGUGUGCGUUUUUGUAUGUACCUUAUGAAUAAGGAUCGGCUAACUCCGUGCCAGCAGCCGCGGUAAUACGGAGGAUCCGAGCGUUAUCCGGAUUUAUUGGGUUUAAAGGGAGCGUAGAUGGGUUGUUAAGUCAGUUGUGAAAGUUUGCGGCUCAACCGUAAAAUUGCAAUUGAUACUGGCAGUCUUGAGUACAGUAGAGGUGGGCGGAAUUCGUGGUGUAGCGGUGAAAUGCUUAGAUAUCACGAAGAACUCCGAUUGCGAAGGCAGCUUACUAAACUGCCACUGACAUUGAGGCUCGAAAGUGUGGGUAUCAAACAGGAUUAGAUACCCUGGUAGUC
This 460-nucleotide ribosomal RNA is filed under the name uncultured bacterium. Its description in RNAcentral is "partial 16S ribosomal RNA". It matches the Rfam family "Bacterial small subunit ribosomal RNA", at positions 338 to 795 of the family's 1533-position model. The record is from RNAcentral.